Molecule: long non-coding RNA, 4902 nt
Organism: Neoarius graeffei (lesser salmon catfish)
Lineage: Eukaryota; Metazoa; Chordata; Actinopteri; Siluriformes; Ariidae
Exons: 2
Source: RefSeq, a predicted model, not a curated record
AUAACUGGCCGCAACCGGGACAUGUGGAAGGUGGGGUUGACCCUCAUGUACCGGGGCAGCUAUAGACGAUUCAAGACUGGAUUGACCCGCCUCUCCACUUUGAAUGAACCCACAAAGCAAGGCACCAGCUUCUGGUUCUCCACUCUCAAGGGAAGGUCAUUGGCAGACAGCCAAACCCUCUGCUCAGGGCGGAAAGAUGGAGCAGGUCUGUGCCGUCAGUUCACCUGGACCUGGUCCCUCUUGGAGGCUCCGAGCAGAGCUUGUCGGGCCCUUCUCCAAGUCCGCUUACACCUCCGUGCAAAACUCAGGGCUGAAGGGACACUAGAAUCCUCCUCCUGCUUAGGAAACAAGAGAGGCUUAUAACCAAACAGACAUUCAAAUGGAGACAUACCAGUGGAGCUGCACCUGAGAGUGUUGUGGGCAUAUUCUGCCCAUGGAAGGUGGGUACUCCAGGAGGCUGGAUUAGCUGACACUAGACAUUUCAGGGUGGCCUCCAGGUCUUGAUUCAGUCUUUCUGUCUGCCCAUUCGACUGUGGGUGAAAGCCGGAUGAUUGACUGACGGUGGCGUCAAUGAGCUUGCAGAAUGCCUGCCAGAAGCUGGAGGUGAACUGGGGUCCACGAUCAGAGACGAUGUCCUGGGGAAGAUAAAAAACUCAGACAUGUUCACACAUUAGUCUAGCAGUUUUGGCAGCAGAGGGAAGCUUGGGUAGGGGCAGAAAAUGUCAGGUUUUAGAGAAUCUGUCUAUUACAACAAGAAUAACUGUGUUACCUUGGGAUGGAGAUAAGCUCGUAAUGAAGUCCAAGGAGAUGUGUGGCCAUGGUCUUCAAGGGAUCAGUAAGGGAUGGAGGAUGCCCGGAGUACUCUGAUGUGGAUCGUUGCUCCGGGCAUAAACUGAACAAGCUGCCACAAAUGUUUUAACAUCCUUCUCCAUGCUGGGCCACCAGAACUGGUGUUGGAGAAACUCCAGAGUUCAUAAGGAUCCUGGAUGCGCUGUUAGUUGUGAAGCGUGACCCCACUGGAGAACCUUAGCUCGAAUAGACUUAGGGAUAUAAAACCAGUUGGUGGGCCCAGAACUUGGACCAGGCUCAUUCUUAAGGGCUCACAGUACUGCCGUAAAAAUGCCCCAACGGACUGGUGCCACGACUCUGGAGCUGGGUAGAAUGGGCUCGGGCUGGAUCUCAGGAGAAUCUGAGAGAAACUGUUGGGAUAGGUCAUUGGGCUUCUGAUUCUUGAUCCCUGGAUGGUAAGAAAGGGUAAAGUCAAACCUGUUGAAGAACAGAGCCCAGCAUGCCUUGGACUGAGCCGUUUGGCCUGUUGGAUGUAUUCCAGAUUCCUGUGAUCAGUCCAGACUAAGAAAGGAUGUUCAGCUUCUUCCAACUGAUGACUCCACUCCUCAAGCACCAAUUUUAGAGCCAGUAAUUCCUAGUUCCCUAUAUCGUAAUUUCUCUCCGUGGCUGUAAGCUUGCGGGAGAAGAAUGCACAGGGAUGUAGUUUCCCAUCACUUGCAGUCUGUAACAGAACUGCUCCUACUCCCACAUCAGAAGCAUCCACCUCCACAAUGAAGGGUCGAUCUGGCUCGGGCAGACAGAGAAUGGAAGCUGUGGUGAAUUUUUGUUUGAGGAUAUUAAAGGCCUUGUCUGCCUCAGGGGACCAAGAAAAGGGCACCUUAUCUUUUCAUGUCAAAGCAGAAAUUGGAGCAGCAAUGGAACUAAAACCCAGAAUAAAACAAUGAUAAAAAUUUGCAAGGCCCAGGAACCUUUGGGUUUCCUUAACUGAACUCGGGCUUGGCCAGUCUCAAACAGCUUGGACUUUCCCAGGAUCCAUCUGAACGCUACCUUCAGAAAUGAUGAACUCAAGGAAGGCCACCUCCUCGACAUGAAAGUCAUAUUUCUCUGGCAUUACAAAUAGACCAUUCUUCAAUAGAUGGCUCAAAACCUGGCGAACAUGUUGGACAUACUCAUGUAAGUUCUUGGAAAAGAUCAAAUUCUCAAGGUACACAAAGACGUAUUGAUUUAACUUGUCCCUAAGGACAUCAUUCAUAAGAGCCUGGAAGACAGCUGGUGUGUUGGUGAGGCCAAAGGGCAUAACCUGGCAUUCAUAGUGCCUGGGAGACGUGUUAAAGGCUGUCUUCCAUUCAUCACCUUGUCAGAUUGAUAACAGAUGGUAGGCCUUUCGCAAGUCCAACUUUGUAAAGAUGGUGGCACCUUCAAGAAGUUCAAAAGCAGAGGCCAUGAGGGGUAGCGAGUAUCGGUUCCAGAUAGUGAUCUUGUUUAGACCUCAAUAAUCUAUGCAAGGCUGAAGACCUUCAUCUUUCUUCCCUAUGAAGAAGCCAGCCCCAGCAGGUGAAGAUGAGGGAUGGAUGAAACCUGAUGCCAGAGCCUCCUUGAUGUAACUGUCCAUAGCCUGUCGUUCAGGGGCAGACAAAGAAAAGAUGCGGCCUCUUGUAAGUGAGGUACCUGGCAGCAGGUCAAUGGCACAGCUGUAGGGCCUAUGAGGUGGGAGGGCCGUUGCUUUCUUCUUGAUGAACACUUCCUGCAAGUCAUGGUACUGAGAGGGGACUUGGGAUAAUUUGGGAGGUGACAAGGGCUCGGAACACUGAACAGGUUGACGUUAGAGGCAGGGAGUGUGACAGGCAGGGCCCCACUUGAUUACAAAACAUGUAGACCAGUCUAGGUGUGGGUUAUAGAGCUUUAACCAAGGAAACCCUAACACCAUUGAAUACCCUGGAGACUGGAUGAGGUGGAAGGACAUCUCUUCACAAUGUUAUCAAUCAGGACUCUCAGUGUAACAGUUCUCCGAUGAACACAACCAUCACCCAGGGGUCAACCAACCAAGGCUGGUCCAGAAAGGGAAGAAUCCAGGCUGGUGGUGGGGAUUGACAGAUGCUCAGCAAGGGAAGAGUUCAUAAAAUUACCUGCUGCCCCUGAAUCCACAAAAGCUCUAAGAGAGUGCUCCUGACCACCCCAGGCAAUGGAAAUUGUAAGGAAGAGACUGGCAACAGGUAGAUGAGGAGAGGAAGUCACCCCUGUCACAGCCCUCCUAAUGCUGGAUGGGGUUUGGCUUUUCCCACUAACUCUGGGCAGUAACUUCGGACAUGGCCUGGUGCACCGCAGUAGAGGCAGCAACGUUCCCUCAUCCAUCUGUCACGUUCAGUCUGGGAAAGCCGUGUGGCCCCCCCCACUUGCAUCUGCUCAGGGCCAUUCUCCACAGCAAAGGCAGCCAGAUAUAGGGGAACCUGAGCCACCACAAUGGAUGAACUGGCCCCAAUUGCAGAGAGACACACAAUCACAAGAAGGUAGCUGCAGAACUUUACUUUAGAUCUGGCAAAUUCCAAAUAAUGCAGGUUUUGCACCAAACAGGUCCCAUAUGAGGUCAGUAACAGAAAAAUUCACAAAAGGAAGUCGAAACAGGCAACACGUUAACCAGUCCAAAGAGCACUUUGCAGGAAAAACAGGCCAAAGGCAAAUACACAGAAGAUAAAAAAAAAGACAGACAAGAUUCCAGAAACUGAGAGCAGCAAAAGGAGCACUAAGAAACUUAGGCACAGUGUCAAAAUAGCAGUCAAAAGGUCUCAAACUCAAGGCUUACAUUCUCAGGAGCACAGCAGACUGUUGAACUCAGCAAGGAGCACAAGGCUAGGCACACAAUAUAUACCUCCAUGCUAACUAGACACAGGUGUAAGCAAUUAGCAGAAUAGACACAAAUGAAGGCACCAAUAUACAAGGAGAAAACAAAUGGGCAAAAUGGGUACAUCUAGUGGUGGAAGAAAGGUACUGCAACAUCUGAAAAAGUUCCAAAUCCUGACAGACACAAGGAGAGACACAGGUUCAGGGAGUGGAUUUUGGGGAGUUGGCCCCCAUUUCAGUGGGGCUGGGGAAGGAAAGGGGUGAAGAAAAAGAGAGAGAGAGCAAUAGAGACAAAGAGAGAGAGAGAGAGACUGGUCCAGUCAGCAUGUACUCUAGCAGUCGCUCUUGCAGCCAGUGUUCCCAUCCAGCUGGUCAAGAUGGGGCUGCAGGAUAACCCAGAAGCCUAUGUUGAGCUGUUUGAGCAUGUCGCGGACCUCACAGUGGGUGGCCCGUCUAUUGCCACUCCUGUCAGGGGAAGCCCAGCUUGGGGCCUGGCAGCUUCCAAUCACCAGCAUGCUGAAGUACCUGGACCUGAAGCAGGUUCUACUACAUCUGAAGUGGCCUACUGCAGCAGGUUGGCCAUGCACCGGAAGAGCAUUGCCAGCACUUCCAUGCGAUUGCAUACAGCAGAGUCUGCCACUCGUUUGCUUUCACUCAAUGGUUCUGAGAUGCCUGCAGAUGGUGGUUGAUGACUGGUGAGUGCUAUGCCAAGAACAUUGUCAAUUGAGUGGCACUGGAGCAGUUCAUUGCACAGCUGGCGAUUGAAACCUUUUCAUGGAUCCAGUGUCACUGUGCUGUGUCAUUGGAAGAGGUGGUUUGGCUGGCAAAAGAUCACCUGAUGGGGUUUCGGGGAGCAAGUGCUCCUUUCUCUCUCUCUUUAUCCCUUACCCUCUCCUUAUCUCUCUCUUAGCUCCUCCCCUACCCCAGCCCCAUGGAAAUGGGGGUGAACUACCUCAAAAUCUGCUCCCCAAACCCAUAUCUCUCCUUGUGUCUUUACAACCCCCUCUUCUUCUGUGUCUGUGUGACUGCUAACCCCCUCUCUCCACAGGUGGACCCAUCUCUGCUCUCCAGAACAGGGGGAAGCCUGGGAAGGUCCAUAGGCACGACAAGAAGGCUGGACGGUUCCAGUAUCAGCACUUCCGCAAAUAGAUGGCCAGUAGCCAGAGAGAGAGAGAACUAAGCUGCCGAGCGCCAUGGUUGUGUGUGUGCGUGCGUGCAUUAAAGUCACUCAAAAGUGAAAGCAACCAAAGAAUAAAAUGCAUCUUGACUUCUCAA